UACGUAGGGGGCUAGCGUUGUCCGGAUUUAUUGGGCGUAAAGAGCGUGUAGGCGGCCAGGUAGGUCUGGUGUGAAAACUCGAGGCUUAACCUCGAGAUGUCAUCGGAAACCAUCUGGCUAGAGUCCGGAAGAGGAGAGUGGAAUUCCUGGUGUAGCGGUGAAAUGCGCAGAUAUCAGGAAGAACACCAAUGGCGAAAGCAGCUCUCUGGGACGGUACUGACGCUGAGGCGCGAAAGCCAGGGGAGCAAACGGG
RNAcentral lists this ribosomal RNA (253 nucleotides) under uncultured bacterium. RNAcentral's name for it is "partial 16S ribosomal RNA". It matches the Rfam family "Bacterial small subunit ribosomal RNA", at positions 524 to 776 of the family's 1533-position model. The record is from RNAcentral.